RNAcentral lists this ribosomal RNA (253 nucleotides) under uncultured bacterium. RNAcentral's name for it is "partial 16S ribosomal RNA". It matches the Rfam family "Bacterial small subunit ribosomal RNA", at positions 524 to 776 of the family's 1533-position model. The record is from RNAcentral.
UACGGGGGGGGCAAGCGUUGUUCGGAAUUACUGGGCGUAAAGGGUUCGUAGGUGGCUUGCUAAGUCAGACGUGAAAUCCCUCAGCUUAACUGGGGAACUGCGUCUGAGACUGGCCGGCUUGAGUGCAGGAGAGGAACGCGGAAUUCCAGGUGUAGCGGUGAAAUGCGUAGAUAUCGGAAGGAACAUCAGUGGCGAAAGCGACAUCCUGGACCAAUACUGACGCUCAUGUGCGAAAGCGUGGGGAGCAAACAGG